RNAcentral lists this ribosomal RNA (210 nucleotides) under Ammonia sp. RNAcentral's name for it is "partial large subunit ribosomal RNA". The record is from RNAcentral. Lineage: Eukaryota; Foraminifera; Rotaliida; Rotaliidae.
CAAACUAUUAGAGACUAUAGUCCCAAAUAACUCGACUCAGGUUAUAAAAAAUAUAUUUUUAUACGCGGCGCCCCAAUAUAUAUAUGUGUGUGUGGUGUGCGUACGGUGCUUGAGUGAGUCAAACGUGGCUGUCACACUCUAUGGCAUAUCCAAAGAGGAUAUAUACUUGCUUUCCAACGCGGAGACGCUGUGUGUUCACAAGAUGCCCCA